AACGAACGCUGGCGGCAUGCCUAACACAUGCAAGUCGAACGAGACCUUCGGGUCUAGUGGCGCACGGGUGCGUAACGCGUGGGAACCUGCCCUUAGGUUCGGAAUAACUCCCCGAAAGGGGUGCUAAUACCGGAUAAUGUCUUCGGACCAAAGAUUUAUCGCCUUUGGAUGGGCCCGCGUUGGAUUAGCUAGUUGGUAGGGUAAAAGCCUACCAAGGCGACGAUCCAUAGCUGGUCUGAGAGGAUGAUCAGCCACACUGGGACUGAGACACGGCCCAGACUCCUACGCGAGGCAGCAGUGGGGAAUAUUGGACAAUGGGCGAAAGCCUGAUCCAGCAAUGCCGCGUGAGUGAUGAAGGCCGUAGGGUUGUAAAGCUCUUUUACCCGGGAUGAUAAUGACAGUACCGGGAGAAUAAGCUCCGGCUAACUCCGUG
RNAcentral lists this ribosomal RNA (433 nucleotides) under uncultured bacterium. Its description in RNAcentral is "partial 16S ribosomal RNA". It matches the Rfam family "Bacterial small subunit ribosomal RNA", at positions 29 to 507 of the family's 1533-position model. The record is from RNAcentral.